RNAcentral lists this ribosomal RNA (440 nucleotides) under uncultured bacterium. Its description in RNAcentral is "partial 16S ribosomal RNA". It matches the Rfam family "Bacterial small subunit ribosomal RNA", at positions 338 to 795 of the family's 1533-position model. The record is from RNAcentral.
CCUACGGGAGGCUGCAGUGAGGAAUAUUGGUCAAUGGCCGGAAGGCUGAACCAGCCAAGCCGCGUGAGGGACGACUGCCCUAUGGGUUGUAAACCACUGUCCCCAGGGACGAAGAUGACGGUACCUGGGGAGGAAGCUCCGGCUAACUACGUGCCAGCAGCCGCGGUAAUACGUAGGGAGCAAGCGUUGUCCGGAAUUCCUGGGGGAAAGGGGGGCGUAGGCGGGAUGGCAAGUUGGGUGGUAAGGCUACCGGCUCAACUGGUAGUCGCACUCAAAACUGCUAUUCUUGAGUGAAGUAGAGGCAGGCGGAAUUCCUAGUGUAGCGGUGAAAUGCGUAGAUAUUAGGAGGAACACCAGUGGCGAAGGCGGCCUGCUGGGCUUUUACUGACGCUGAGGCUCGAAAGUGUGGGGAGCAAACAGGAUUAGAUACCCCGGUAGUC